Molecule: ribosomal RNA, 404 nt
Filed under: uncultured bacterium
Lineage: Bacteria
Also listed under: 1 other name
Description: bacterial SSU rRNA
Rfam family: Bacterial small subunit ribosomal RNA
Source: RNAcentral
UGGGGAAUCUUGGACAAUGGGGGAAACCCUGAUCCAGCCAUGCCGCGUGAGUGAUGAAGGCCCUAGGGUUGUAAAACUCUUUCGGCGGGGACGAUAAUGACGGUACCCGCAGAAGAAGCUCCGGCUAACUUCGUGCCAGCAGCCGCGGUAAUACGAAGGGGGCUAGCGUUGUUCGGAAUUACUGGGCGUAAAGCGCGCGCAGGCGGUCCUUUAAGUCAGGGGUGAAAGCCCAGAGCUCAACUCUGGAAUUGCCUUUGAAACUAGAGGACUUGGGUACGGGAGAGGUGAGUGGAAUUCCGAGUGUAGAGGUGAAAUUCGUAGAUAUUCGGAAGAACACCAGUGGCGAAGGCGGCUCACUGGCCCGUUACCGACGCUCAGGCGCGACAGCGUGGGGAGCAAACAGG